UUAAGCAUUGAGACCAUGCCCACUCUGCACAUAUAUAGACUAUAAGAAUCACUUAAUAGACUGCAAUUCCUAACAUAUGGAUGCUAUAGUGCAAAAACUGACCUUCUCUGCUGCGAGCUCAACACCACUGUGACAUCCCCCAACAAUCAAUAACAAACUUGCAUAUUUUAUUUUGUAUAUUUUCUGCCAGUAAAAAGAAUCCCCAUCACUUAAAGUAAAUAGUUAAAUGGAAAGUCUUUCACACAUCAAAAUCCAAAACAUGCAAUAUCAGUUUAUUAAAGAUCA
RNAcentral lists this long non-coding RNA (285 nucleotides) under Lotus japonicus. RNAcentral describes it as "long non-coding RNA (LJAP_LNC000788)". The record is from RNAcentral. Lineage: Eukaryota; Viridiplantae; Streptophyta; Magnoliopsida; Fabales; Fabaceae.